CUCUUCCCUCCCGAGGCCCCCACCUCGCCACCACCUCCCAUUGUCCCGUCGCCCUCGAAACUCUCCCAGAGACGGGCGAGUUAUCCAGCUGUGCAGGUCUGAACUGACUUUUCCUGUGCCAGGGCUUCGCCUGAGCAGAAGCAGGAAGCUCACCUUUGCAGGGCAGCGGGCAGGUCUCCCUGCGCCAAUGGACGCCCCGUGCCGACAGACGCCCUGAGGCCUGACCCUGGCUGAGGCCAAGUGCCCAGCUCUGUGGACCCGGACGGACAGGGGCUUGGGUCCCCCCCAUUCCUUCCGAAGCCGGUUCACACCCACCCGGGCCUGGCACACGGGAGGCGCUGGCUGCAGGGUUGGGGCGGGAGCAGCGGUGGAACCUGUCGGGGCAGCUGAGUCUGGCCCCGCGGUGAUGAUUAACCCAACACCUCAACUGGCACGUCGCUGGCUCCACUUCCCGGCGACGGUUGACAAGAAAGCACCGCGUGGGGCUCUCGGAAAACAGGGACCGUCCAUUUUCACUUUUCAUUUCUUGACCUGUGGCCACGCUUCUGGGCUCAGGAGGCGCCUGGGAAUCCUGCCCUGGAACUUAGGAAGGAGGCGUCUCCCACCCGCCUGCCACACAAGUCUGCCCCUGGGUACGAGCCUCUGCCGUGUGCCCCUCAGUCUCCCAGGUGAGAAUGCAGUGGCUGACAAGCCUGGGCGGCCAGGCCAGCUCUGGCCCUGUGGGGCCACUGAGAAGGCUGGCCCUGGGUAGCCAAGAGCCUGGGGACACUGGCCCGGGGCCCUGAACCUGGCAGUGGGAGGCCAUCCCCCGGGUGGGGGCAGUGUUUGGCCCCAGCUGCAAGGGACGAGUGCCGGGUACCUGCAGCCCCCCACGCAGCCUGGCAGCAAGGAAUGGAGCUGAAAUUCGACUCUGUCUGAACGGGAAAUCUUCGUCUCCCUCAGCUCAGAAAACAGGUGAAAUUGUGUCCCUGAAGCACUGAUUUUUCUUUUUUUUUUUUUUGAGACAGAGUCUCGCUCUGCCGCCCAGGCUGGAGUGCAGUGGCCGGAUCUCAGCUCACUGCAAGCUCCGCCCCCCGGGUUCCCGCCAUUCUCCUGCCUCAGCCUCCCGUGUAGCUGGGACUACAGGCGCCCGCCACCUCGCCCGGGUAGUUUUUUGUAUUUUUAGUAGAGACGGGGUUUCACCGUGUUAGCCAGGAUGGUCUCGAUCUCCUGACCUCGUGAUCCGCCCAUCUUGGCCUCCCAAAGUGCUGGGAUUACAGGCUUGAGCCACCGCGCCCGGCCUGAAGCACUGAUUUGAUGGGAUUUUAUGGGAGCGGUGGUGAAGGCCUGUGAGGUGAUGGAAAGGGGAAGCCCGGUGCCUGGAGCCUGACAGGCUGGAGGCCUGGUGUGGGGUCUCUGGAGAGGGUCCAGGUGUGAGGGAAGCUGGGUCAGGUCCUCGGAGACGCGGCCUUUGGAGGAGGAGACUGGAACCGGGUGGACCUGGCAGCAGGCGGGGGUGGGCGGAAGCAACGUUUGUUGUGGUCGGGCAGACAGGGCCUGUGUCCCCCACAGCCUCUGUGGGUGGAAGGUGCCAGAAAUCUUGAAGAGUGGCUCUGGCCAGCUCUCUGGGCCCGGUCAGCACCCGAGUGGGGGCAGAGAAGGGGCGGGAAGGAGGACAGGAAGGAUGGUGUGUCCAGUGGGCAGGGAGCCUUGGUCUGGCCUGGGAGCUGAACCUGCCUCAGGCCCUGAGCAAGGAGGGGCCACAGGGCCGUCUACUUCCUCCUGCCCCUGCAGAGGCGGCCCGGCCCCCACAGCGUCUGAGGCUCGGCUGCCGGUGUCUGUUUGUGGCCGGUCUCCCUCUGUGCCCGGGUCAGACCCCAGACCAGCAGACACAGAAACCACAGGGACGGCUGGGCAUAGCCAGGAGCCUGCCCCGCCCCCACCCCGCCCCUGGCCCCACACCCCCACCCCUGCAC
Molecule: long non-coding RNA, 1955 nt
Organism: Macaca mulatta (Rhesus monkey)
Lineage: Eukaryota; Metazoa; Chordata; Mammalia; Primates; Cercopithecidae
Source: Ensembl